This 400-nucleotide ribosomal RNA is filed under the name uncultured bacterium. Its description in RNAcentral is "partial 16S ribosomal RNA". It matches the Rfam family "Bacterial small subunit ribosomal RNA", at positions 360 to 774 of the family's 1533-position model. The record is from RNAcentral.
AAUCUUGCGCAAUGGAGGGAACUCUGACGCAGCGACGUCGCGUGAUCGAAGAAGGUCUUCGGAUCGUAAAGCUCUGUCUUUGGGGACGAAGGAAGUGACGGUACCCCAGGUGGAAGCCCCGGCCAACUACGUUACAGCAGCCGCGGUAACACGUAUGGGGAAGGCGUUGUCCGGAAUUACUGGGCGUAAAGGGUGCGUAGGCGGUAUAUUAAGUCGGGUGUGAAACCCCACGGCUCAACUGUGGGCUGGCACAUGAAACUGGUAUGCUUGAGUACAGGAGAGGAAAGCGGAAUGCCUAGUGUAGUGGUGAAAUGCGUAGAUAUUAGGAAGAACACCAGUGGCGAAGGCGGCUUUCUGGACUGUAACUGACGCUGAGGCACGAAAGCGUGGGGAGCAAACA